CAAGGAAAGACAUUGUCAUCCAUGUCUGAAAAUAGCCCACAACAGAAGGAAGGAAACGGAUGUCAGUCAUUUCUGCUCUUCGUCUCUCAUUUCCCCUUGGAAAAUUUUUCAUUACAAGCCUGUGUGUCCAGGGCAACAAACAUCCCAUGGAAAUGCUGCACUCCAGCCAGGAAACUCAGUGCACCCAGUGGGGAAAGAAUCAGCGUUUCCCUCUGUGUUUGCUGGCAACUGACAGCUGACUGCAAAAGUAGACCUGCAAAGAAAUCAACAUUUCAGACGUGACUGAAAACAGCCAGUGAGAUCCAGAGGCUGGGCCAAGCACAGUGUGGUUCCCUCAAAAUCAAACCCAAUGAAAAGGUGGGACCCCUCUGCAAGUCACCACUGCCAUCCCACAGAGCUCAAAAACGACUCCAGAGCGGGCACUGAGGUGGAUGGGCUGGGGAAGCAAGGACAGACACAGAAGCACUGAAGAUCCACAUCUGGACAGGCUGAUGCAGAGGAGGAGCAGCCAUCCGUGUUGUCAUGUGCUCCCAUCUGGUCAAAGGCAGUUCAUUCUGAAGUUUUGGUAUCAGAGAAUUCAACACUGGAUUAACCUGAACCUUCAGGGAGAGUUUGAUCUUCAGUCAUCAUCCUUCACCAGCAGUCCUGACCUGGCAGAGUCCUUCUGCAAUUGCAGCAUGAACUCCUGUGCAAGAGGAUUGGAAAUACAGUUUCUGGGCACAGAGGAGCUGGUGUUUCUGUGGCCUAAGACCAAACACAGGAGUCAACCCCCAAGCCAGACUCAGAGGAGUGCUGAAGUAGAGCCACAUGAAAAUUUGGCAUUUUUUGUGUCUCUUCACUGCAUUCAACACUGCACAUGUCAGAGCAGAUGAACAUUCCUGUGAAAACUUCAAUAAAUGGAAUA
Molecule: long non-coding RNA, 904 nt
Organism: Vidua chalybeata
Lineage: Eukaryota; Metazoa; Chordata; Aves; Passeriformes; Viduidae
Exons: 5
Source: RefSeq, a predicted model, not a curated record